This 4069-nucleotide long non-coding RNA is filed under the name Salmo salar (Atlantic salmon). Its description in RNAcentral is "lncRNA (ENSSSAG00000100388.1)". The record is from RNAcentral. Lineage: Eukaryota; Metazoa; Chordata; Actinopteri; Salmoniformes; Salmonidae.
GUCCUACGGACACGCUACAGACAGUCCUACGGACACGCUACAGACAGUCCUACAGACAGUCCUACGGACACGCUACAGACAGUCCUACGGACACGCUACAGACAGUCCUACGGACACGCUACAGACAGUCCUACGGACACGCUACAGACAGUCCGAAAGACACGCUACAGACAUCCUACAGACAGUCCUACAGACACGCUACAGACAGUCCGAAAGACGCUACAGACAGUCCUACAGACACGCUACAGACAGUCCUACGGACACGCUACAGACAGUCCUACGGACACGCUACAGACAGUCCGAAAGACGCUACAGACACGCUACAGACAGUCCUACAGACACGCUACAGACAGUCCUACAGACACGCUACAGACAGUCCUACGGACACGCUACAGACAGUCCUACAGACACGCUACAGACAGUCCUACGGACACGCUACAGACAGUCCUACGGACACGCUACAGACAGUCCGAAAGACACGCUACAGACAGUCCGAAAGACACGCUACAGACAGUCCGACAGACGCUACAGACAGUCCGAAAGACACGCUACAGACAGUCCGAAAGACGCUACAGACACGCUACAGACAAUCCUACAGACAGUCCUACGGACACACUACAGACAGUCCUACGGACACGCUACAGACAGUCCUACGGACACGCUACAGACAGUCCUACGGACACGCUACAGACAGUCCUACGGACAAGCUACAGACAGUCCUACGGACACGCUACAGACAGUUCUACGGACACGCUACAGACAGUCCGAAAGACACGCUACAGACAGUCCGAAAGACGCUACAGACAGUCCUACGGACACGCUACAGACAGUCCUACGGACACGCUACAGACAGUCCUACAGACACGCUACAGACAGUCCUACAGACACGCUACAGACAGUCCUACAGACACGCUACAGACAGUCCUACAGGCAGUCCUACGGACACGCUACAGACAGUCCUACGGACACGCUACAGACAGUCCUACGGACACGCUACAGACAGUCCUACAGACACGCUACAGACAGUCCUACAGGCAGUCCUACAGAGACGCUACAGACAGUCCUACAGACACGCUACAGACAGUCCGAAAGACAGUCCGAAAGACACGCUACAGACAGUCCGAAAGACACGCUACGGACACGCUACAGACAGUCCUACGGACACACUAGAGACAGUCCGAAAGACACGCUACAGACAGUCCUACGGACAAGCUACAGACAGUCCUACGGACACGCUACAGACAUUCCGACAGACAGUCCGAAAGACACGCUACAGACAGUCCGAAAGACACGCUACAGACAGUCCUACGGACACGCUACGGACAGCCCGAAAGACAGUCCGAAAGACACGCUACAGACAGUCCUACAGACAGUCCUACGGACAAGCUACAGACAGUCCUACAGACACGCUACAGACAGUCCGACAGACAGUCCGAAAGACACGCUACAGACAUCCUACAGGCAGUCCUACGGACACGCUACAGACAGUCCUACAGACACGCUACAGACAGUCCUACAGACACGCUACAGACAGUCCUACAGACAGUCCUACGGACAAGCUACAGACAGUCAUACAGACACGCUACAGACAGUCCGACAGACAGUCCGAAAGACACGCUACAGACAGUCCGAAAGACACGCUACAGACAGUCCUACGGACACGCUACAGACAGUCCUACGGACACGCUACAGACAGUCCAAAAGACACGCUACAGACAGUUCUACAGACGUCCUACAGACAGUCCUACAGACACGCUACAGACAGUCCUACAGACAGUCCUACGGACACGCUACAUACAGUCCUACAGACACGCUACAAACAGUGCUACAGACAGUCCUACGGACAAGCUACAGACAGUCCUACAGACAGUCCUACGGACAAGCUACAGACAGUCCUACAGACACGCUACAGACAGUCUGACAGACAGUCCGAAAGACACGCUACAGACAGUCCGAAAGACACGCUACAGACAGUCCGACAGACACGCUACAGACAGUCCUACAGACACGCUACAGACAGUCCUACAGACACGCUACAGACAGUCCGACAGACAUGCUACCGUCCGACAGACAGACACACUACAGACAGUCUGAAAGACACGCUACAGACGGUCCCACAGACGUGCUACAGACAGUCCUGCAGACACACGCUACAGACAGUCCUAGCUACAGACAGUCCUACAGACACACGCUGCAGACAGUCCGAAAGACAGACACGCUACAGACGGUCCUACAGACACGCUGCAGACAGACACACGCUACAGAUGGUCCGAAAGACAGACACACGCUACAGACAGUCCGAAAGACAGACACACGCUACAGACGGUCCGAAAGACAGACACACGCUACAGACGGUCCGAAAGACAGACACACGCUACAGACGGUCCGAAAGACAGACACACGCUACAGACGGUCCGAAAGACAGACACACGCUACAGACACGCUACAGACAUACAGUAGCACCCCAGUAACUGCAUCUCAGUAAGCAUCAGUAGUAUGAUUGACUGGUAUGAUUGACUAGUAUGAUUCGCUACAGACAGUCCUUCAGACAUUCAUACAGACACGCUACAGACAGUCCUUCAGACACGCUACAGACAGUCCUACAGACAUUCAUACAGACAGUCCUUCAGACACGCUACAGACAGUCCUUCAGACACGCUACAGACAGUCCUACAGACAGUCCUACAGACAUUCAUACAGACACGCUACAGAUAUGCAUACAGACACACUACAGACAUUCAUACAGACACGCUACAGAUAUGCAUACAGACACGCUACAGAUAUGCAUACAGAAACACUACAGACAUUCAUACAGACACACUACAGACAUUCAUACAGACAUGCAUACAGACACGCUACAGACAUUCAUACAGACACGUUACAGACAUACAGUAGCACCCCAGAAACUGCAUCUCAGUAAGCAUCAGUAGUAUGAUUGACUAGUAUGAUUGAUUGACUAGUAUGAUUGAUGAGUUGAUUGAUUGACAGGUGUGUUUCUGAUGAUACCACUGAGUGCUGUACAGCUGAAGCCUGUCUGUACACUAACGUGACACCACAAGACUAUGAAAGCCCACUGAGCUAAUCUCCUAGGCAUUAGCCCAGGGAGCUAACACAAAUAUUGAGCUUAAUGCAGUCAAAACGUUGCAUGCAAUCAAGUAACCAGGAGCAGUCAUUUAACAGUGUAUUCCUGUUUAACCUCCAGGUCAGACCCCGCUCUCUCUUCCUGGCCACAGUCAUAUGCUACAAUGGCACCCUAUUCCCUACAUUGUGCACUAUAUAGGGAAUAGGGUGCCAUUGGGACGCAGCCCAGUGAGGACCCCCACACUGGCUCUGGCUGCAGUCCGCUGUUAUUCUAAAUGGUAGAUUUACCAAGGCCACUAGAGAAUUCCUCUGGGCUACAGCCAAGAGCUGGCCGGCCGCACGGGGAGAGAGAGGAAAGGAGGACGAGAACUCCACUCAACGGUUCCUGAGGAGCGACUCUUUCCCUCUCCUCCUCCCACCUCUUCUUACAGUUCAGAGGUGUAUGUUGGCCAGUCAUGGAGGCUCUCCUGCCCCUCUAAGCUUCGACAUGUCUAUUCAGAUGAUGUGACAUCCUAUUGCAGUUCAUUGUCUUCUCAUUGGGCACCAGGUGUGUCACUCCAUUAAUAAUGUAACUGACAAUCUGUUCCAUACUCUGUCACUAUCUUCUGCAUUUUGUGUUCUGGGAGAAAUAGUCUGAAGUGCUUCCUGUUUCUCAGUGUUCCAUACAGCAUGUCACUUCCUCUACACCCCCAGUUGUGCUCAUGGAUUAGCUGCCCUGCCAGAAUGACCAUACAGAAUGUGGUCUGGUAUGGUUUUAAUUCACCUGUCUGAUCAUGUGUAUACAAACAGUACUAUGAACUAAGGACUCAUGAAAUCAAAAUCAACAGAAAUGUAUCUUGAUAUCAUUAAAGUGUAUUUUUGUGUGGAUAUUUUGUACACUGAGUUCAGUCAUGAAGGUGUUGUGUGUUCAGUAGGUAGCUCUGAUCAUGAACUGCAUGACAACUCAGAGGAAUUAUAACCACUAUAUAAUACUGACACAUUGAAAAAC